RNAcentral lists this long non-coding RNA (675 nucleotides) under Lupinus angustifolius (narrow-leaved blue lupine). RNAcentral describes it as "long non-coding RNA (LANG_LNC003757)". Lineage: Eukaryota; Viridiplantae; Streptophyta; Magnoliopsida; Fabales; Fabaceae. The record is from RNAcentral.
AUUCUUGAUCUUGGAUUCUCGAUCUUGGUUUCUCGAUCUUGGAUUCUUGAUCAAGAAUCCAAGAUCAAGAAACCAAGAUUGAGAAUUCAAGAAUUCAAGAUUAUGAAUGCAAGAUCAAGAUCAAGAUAAGAAGACUUAAUUGGCAUGUUCUCUUUCAGUUUUGUUCCCUUGCAGAGACUAUAGACUUUAUUAAGGCUUUUCUAUCUUUGUCCAUAUCUCCCAUCAAACGACUAAAUGUACCUUUAAGUUGUUUUUCAUGGAGCACAAUAUCCCUUAUCUUUAAGCAAAAUGAGGUCUAUAAGCAAAACAUGAAUAUUAUGUGUCAUUUAUGCAAUCAAAGAUCCUCCAACCGAUACGAGGUAAGCUUGCUUCUGAGCAUUCAAGGUGUUUCAAACUCUAGGUAUGUAAUAAUGUUUCUGAGCCUUUUCCUCUUGGUCUUGUUUUGUUGUUUUUUGUUUAUGUAUAGUUAUUGUGGAAGACAUAUGGUGUAUGGUUAUGAAAAAAAAGCGAAAGAUUAAGAAAGAUUUCAGGUGGAUAUGGGUAGGCUUAUUCUCUAUUUGCAUUAGUAAAUGCCUAUUAAAUGGAUGAAGCUAUAGAAGUCUAACUUUUACGGUAUCAAUUUACACAUUAAACUCAAUUAUCUAACCAUUAUAUCACAGGUGGAAGGUACACUCU